AUGCUCAACGACCAGAUCGUCGUCUCGUCCUCUCCAAGAGAAGGGGACAACUCAAGCAGACACCUCCCGUCGACGAUGGCGAUGACCGCUACCCUUCUCCUCUCCCAGCAAAGUCAGGUCUACCUCUCCUGUGAAGAACACAUGUUCGUAAUUGAUACACCUAGGCUCAGCUUCUCUAUUGGUAUGAAGGCGUGGAGCGUGAUUCUCUUGUUUUCAACUCGAGGCGAUCAGGCCAGUAAACAUGCUAAGCUUGCCUGGCUGGCACACACGCUUAGGCACAACAAUCGGCCCCGGCACCGCGCGCCAAGGCGCGCUGCAGCUUCUGGCUCUUUUGCUCCCAAGCUGGCCUCGCUUUCCUCGGUGGUCAGCGGGAGAAGCAUGAGGCGCUGCACCUCUGACCCCGUAGUGCUCAGCUCCAAUUCAUCAGGGAGGCCAGCGGCAAGCAUCAAGUUUCCCUUGGUGCUUCCUCAUCAAGGAGGACGACUCGGGCAGCGCCGUCCUCAAGGUUGCUGUCACUCCUCGGCACUCCGCAGGAUAGGCACAUCCGCCACCACACCGCAGAACAGACGAGGAUGUGAUGCUCCUCCUUCUUGUGGUGUAUGUGUUGGCGUGGCUUGCCGUAGUGAGGCAUAUCCUCGUGGGCAAUGCUAUUUGAAGACCAUUCAAGUGAUUUAA
Molecule: ribosomal RNA, 675 nt
Filed under: Triticum aestivum (bread wheat)
Lineage: Eukaryota; Viridiplantae; Streptophyta; Magnoliopsida; Poales; Poaceae
Description: partial small subunit ribosomal RNA
Source: RNAcentral